Molecule: ribosomal RNA, 1128 nt
Filed under: uncultured bacterium
Lineage: Bacteria
Description: bacterial SSU rRNA
Rfam family: Bacterial small subunit ribosomal RNA
Source: RNAcentral
AUAAGUCAAAGCAUAAUGUGCUGAGAGAUGGUCUCGCGUCUGAUUAGCUAGAUGGCGGGGUAACGGCCACCAUGGCGACGAUCAGUAGCCGGUCUGAGAGGAUGAACGGCCACAUUGGGACUGAGAUACGGCCCAGACUCCUACGGGAGGCAGCAGUGGGGAAUAUUGGGCAAUGGGGGAAACCCUGACCCAGCAACGCCGCGUGAAGGAAGAAGGCCUUCGGGUUGUAAACUUCUUUUAGCAGGGACGAAGGACGUGACGGUACCUGCAGAAAAAGCAACGGCUAACUACGUGCCAGCAGCCGCGGUAAUACGUAGGUUGCAAGCGUUGUCCGGAUUUACUGGGUGUAAAGGGCGUGUAGGCGGAGCUGCAAGUCAGAUGUGAAAUCCCGGGGCUCAACCCCGGAACUGCAUUUGAAACUGUAGCCCUUGAGUAUCGGAGAGGCAAGCGGAAUUCCUAGUGUAGCGGUGAAAUGCGUAGAUAUUAGGAGGAACACCAGUGGCGAAGGCGGCUUGCUGGACGACAACUGACGCUGAGGCGCGAAAGCGUGGGGAGCAAACAGGAUUAGAUACCCUGGUAGUCCACGCUGUAAACGAUGAAUACUAGGUGUGGGAGGACUGACCCCUUCCGUGCCGCAGUUAACACAAUAAGUAUUCCACCUGGGGAGUACGACCGCAAGGUUGAAACUCAAAGGAAUUGACGGGGGCCCGCACAAGCAGUGGAUUAUGUGGUUUAAUUCGACGCAACGCGAAGAACCUUACCAGGACUUGACAUCCAACUAACGAAGUAGAGAUACAUUAGGUGCCCUUCGGGGAAAGUUGAGACAGGUGGUGCAUGGUUGUCGUCAGCUCGUGUCGUGAGAUGUUGGGUUAAGUCCCGCAACGAGCGCAACCCCUAUUGUUAGUUGCUACGCAAGAGCACUCUAGCGAGACUGCCGUUGACAAAACGGAGGAAGGCGGGGACGACGUCAAAUCAUCAUGCCCCUUAUGUCCUGGGCUACACACGUAAUACAAUGGCCGUCAACAGAGGGAAGCGAAACUGCGAAGUGGAGCAAAUCCCUAAAAACGGUCUCAGUUCGGAUUGCAGGCUGCAACUCGCCUGCAUGAAGCUGGAAUUGCUAGUAAUCGC